AUUACAGGUUUGCACCACAACACUGCUGCAAAAAUUACCCUUAACAUUUGCAGGAAACUUGCUUUCUCUGCAAUAAAGCUGUAGUCCUUCCUUUUGCAGAGGGAGAUUCAGAGUCAGAAGAACCAGCUCCUGCUUCUUUGAUUAUACAGAGGACAUCUGAGCUACCCAGAGACCCAGCCAUCACCUUAUAAAGCCUAGGGCACCACCAGUUCCUGAAAUGCAGGUGUGUGCUAUCCCUGGAAGGCUCACAGAUACUUUGGAGCACAGGGACUAAUGUGGAAGCUGUACUUCAGAAACCUAGAAAAUCAACACUAUGGCUUUGAUCCCAAACCCCGCCAACUGCAGGACGCUGAGGAUUCUGCAGCCAGGAAGAAUGCCGAGGCCUCCUCCGGCCACUCUUCUCCCAGCACACCCGACUUCCAUUAUGCAGGGACAUGCCUGGGCUGGGGGCUGCUGCCAGAAUUCUCCUGGCCCAAACAGGAGGCUCUGGGUUGUGGCCCAGAAUCUUUCCUGAAAAUCCGUGCAAGUUUCCUCCAUCGCUUCCAAUCCUGUACUUUCAUGUCGGUGAGAUUCUGGGCCGUGUUUGGCCUGAGCAAUGCUAAAGCUUGCUCCUGUCUUUCUUCCUCUAUGAGCUAAGUUCUCUUCUCCCUGCAGCCCCUCUGCCCCUCACAGUUGUAAAUAAGAAAGUUCUGCUUUCAGAAACAAUCCUGAAAACGAUGACCAAGUCCGAACUCUUGUCCAUUAAGCCCUUUUAUGGCCCACAGACUUAACUCCUUAAACACGGUUUUUGCUGGGUAGGGUGGAGCAUACCCGUAAUCCCAGCACUUGGGAGGCUGAGGCAGGAGGAUCCUAGCAAAUUAGAGGCCAACCUGGGCUACAUAGUGAGAUUCUGUCUCAAAAACAAAAACAGUUUUCACCUACUGAGAUAACAUUCUUAUGGGAACACUGAUUGGGUUAUUGCUAGCUUGUGUGAUGGGAAAAACCUAGAACGUCCCUCCAAGAGACUUUGGUCACCCCAACUAAACAACCCAGAGAGGCAGACCCAAACGUCUACCUGGUUUGGAAGAACCCCAGAGGUGUUAGUCACCUUGCACUUGCUGAGAAUCAGAGUGGAGGUGAAGCCUGUCCUGCAGUUUAACUGUUUAUGCCAAAGCCAGCUCACGUUUGCAGAAUUCCCCUUGGGGAGCCACGGGCACUGCUGAGCCCUUGGCACAUAUCAUUCAUGCACUCCUAGCCCAGCCCUGUCAGAUUCGCACACUCAUCCCAUCUUACACAGCAGGAAGCAUAGGCUCAGAGGAGACAGGGUGGGACUUGGUGAGCCCUGACUGAGGUCACCUGGCUGAUAAGUGAUAAAGGCACUGCUCAAUUUUGGCUUCAUCUGAUCCCCUAAUCCCCAAAUCUGGGCUCAGCCCCACUCCAAUCCAUGGCCUCCUUCGGGACUUGAAAAUGUAAAUGACACAUUCUGUUCACGAUUAGGAAUUUUCUGGCAUGGUAGUGCACCUCUAUAAUUCCAGCAUUCAGGAGGCUGAGGCGGGAGGGUCACACACACACACACACACAAAGUAGAGCCAGGCAUGGUGGAGCACGCCUAUAAUCCCAGCACUUGGGAGGCUGAGGCAGGAGGAUCACCAUGAGUUCGAGGCCAGCCUGGACUACAUAGCAAGACCCU
This 1669-nucleotide long non-coding RNA is filed under the name Heterocephalus glaber (naked mole-rat). Its description in RNAcentral is "lncRNA (ENSHGLG00000039694.1)". The record is from RNAcentral. Lineage: Eukaryota; Metazoa; Chordata; Mammalia; Rodentia; Bathyergidae.